UACAGAGGGUGCGAGCGUUAAUCGGAAUUACUGGGCGUAAAGCGUGCGUAGACGGUUAUUUAAGUCGGAUGUGAAAGCCCCGGGCUCAACCAAGGAAGUGCAUCCGAAACUGCAGAGCUUGAGUACUUAAGAGGAUCGCGGAAUUCCCGGUGUAGAGGUGAAAUUCGUAGAUAUCGGGAGGAACACCAGUGGCGAAGGCGGCGAUCUGGGAAGAUACUGACGCUGAGGUGCGAAAGCGUGGGGAGCAAACAGG
Molecule: ribosomal RNA, 253 nt
Filed under: uncultured bacterium
Lineage: Bacteria
Description: partial 16S ribosomal RNA
Rfam family: Bacterial small subunit ribosomal RNA
Source: RNAcentral